Molecule: ribosomal RNA, 484 nt
Filed under: uncultured bacterium
Lineage: Bacteria
Description: partial 16S ribosomal RNA
Rfam family: Bacterial small subunit ribosomal RNA
Source: RNAcentral
AUUGAACGCUGGCGGCAGGCCUAACACAUGCCAGUCGAGCGGAUGAAGGGAGCUUGCUCCUGGAUUCAGCGGCGGACGGGUGAGUAAUGCCUAGGAAUCUGCCUGGUAGUGGGGGAUAACGUCCGGAAACGGGCGCUAAUACCGCAUACGUCCUGAGGGAGAAAGUGGGGGAUCUUCGGACCUCACGCCAUCAGAUGAGCCUAGGUCGGAUUAGCUAGUUGGUGGGGUAAAGGCCUACCAAGGCGACGAUCCGUAACUGGUCUGAGAGGAUGAUCAGUCACACUGGAACUGAGACACGGUCCAGACUCCUACGGGAGGCAGCAGUGGGGAAUAUUGGACAAUGGGCGAAAGCCUGAUCCAGCCAUGCCGCGUGUGUGAAGAAGGUCUUCGGAUUGUAAAGCACUUUAAGUUGGGAGGAAGGGCAGUAAGUUAAUACCUUGCUGUUUUGACGUUACCAACAGAAUAAGCACCGGCUAACUUCGUG